AACGCUAGCUACAGGCUUAACACAUGCAAGUCGAGGGGCAGCAUGAACUUAGCUUGCUAAGUUUGAUGGCGACCGGCGCACGGGUGAGUAACACGUAUCCAACCUGCCGAUGACUCGGGGAUAGCCUUUCGAAAGAAAGAUUAAUACCCGAUGGCAUAGUUCUUCCGCAUGGUGGAACUAUUAAAGAAUUUCGGUCAUCGAUGGGGAUGCGUUCCAUUAGGUUGUUGGCGGGGUAACGGCCCACCAAGCCUUCGAUGGAUAGGGGUUCUGAGAGGAAGGUCCCCCACAUUGGAACUGAGACACGGUCCAAACUCCUACGGGAGGCAGCAGUGAGGAAUAUUGGUCAAUGGACGAGAGUCUGAACCAGCCAAGUAGCGUGAAGGAUGACUGCCCUAUGGGUUGUAAACUUCUUUUAUAAAGGAAUAAAGUCGGGUAUGCAUACCCGUUUGCAUGUACUUUAUGAAUAAGGAUCGGCUAACUCCGUGCCAGCAGCCGCGGUAAUACGGAGGAUCCGAGCGUUAUCCGGAUUUAUUGGGUUUAAAGGGAGCGUAGAUGGAUGUUUAAGUCAGUUGUGAAAGUUUGCGGCCCAACCGUAAAAUUGCAGUUGAUACUGGAUAUCUUGAGUGCAGUUGAGGCAGGCGGAAUUCGUGGUGUAGCGGUGAAAUGCUUAGAUAUCACGAAGAACUCCGAUUG
Molecule: ribosomal RNA, 693 nt
Filed under: uncultured Bacteroidales bacterium
Lineage: Bacteria; Pseudomonadati; Bacteroidota; Bacteroidia; Bacteroidales
Description: bacterial SSU rRNA
Rfam family: Bacterial small subunit ribosomal RNA
Source: RNAcentral